GACGAACGCUGGCGGCGUGCUUAACACAUGCAAGUCGAACGGAAAGGCCCUGCUUUUGUGGGGUGCUCGAGUGGCGAACGGGUGAGUAACACGUGAGUAACCUGCCCUUGACUUUGGUAUAACUUCAGGAAACUGGGGCUAAUACCGGAUAGGAGCUCCUGCUGCAUGGUGGGGGUUGGAAAUUUUCGGCGGUUGGGGAUGGACUCGCGGCUUAUCAGCUUGUUGGUGGGGUAGUGGCUUACCAAGGCUUUGACGGGUAGCCGGCCUGAGAGGGUGACCGGCCACAUUGGGACUGAGAUACGGCACAGAAUCGUACGGGAGGCAGCAGUGGGGAAUAUUGCACAAUGGGCGGAAGCAUGAUGCAGCAAAGCCGCGUGCGGGAUGACGGCCUUCGGGUUGUAAACAGAUUUAGAGUGUGACGAAGAGUGAGUGACGGUAAUGGGUAAAGAAGCACCGGCUAACUACGUG
RNAcentral lists this ribosomal RNA (468 nucleotides) under uncultured bacterium. RNAcentral's name for it is "partial 16S ribosomal RNA". It matches the Rfam family "Bacterial small subunit ribosomal RNA", at positions 28 to 507 of the family's 1533-position model. The record is from RNAcentral.